AGCCCUUGAUCUUAUCAAAGGUGUUACCUGCCCAAUGAUUUAAAACUAAAUAAUAAUAAUCUUUUUAAAAUUAAAUUUAAAGGACGCAGUAUACUGACUGUGGUAAUGUAGCAUAAUCACUCGCCAUUUAAUUGAUGGAUAGUAUGAAUGGUUAAACGAAUAUAACACUGUCUUAAUAAAAGAAAUUAUGAAAUUUAAAUAAUAGUUAAGAUGCUAUUUUAAAUUGUAAGACGAAAAGACCCUAUAGAGCUUAACUAUAAUCUCUUUCAAAAAUAAAUAUUUACAAGAUAUCAAUAGAGAGAGGUGGGUAGUUUAGUUGGGGCGACUAUCUUCUAAUAAUAACGAAGACAAACAAGGUUAAUAAUAAACUUACUGUAUAAUCCAUUAAUUUAACAGUUAUAAAAAUAGGUUAUAAUGACCCGUUAAAAUUUAUUAAUUAAUAUAACGAUCAAUAAAUAAAAGCUACCUUAGGGAUAACAGGAUAAUUUUGUUCUAGAGAUCAUAUCGAAAACAAAGUUUGUCACCUCUAUGUUGAACUGAGAUAUCCUAAUAAUGCAGAAGUUAUUAAAGGUAGGUCUGUUCGACCUUUAAAAUCUUA
This 598-nucleotide ribosomal RNA is filed under the name Merona sp. PS-2018. RNAcentral describes it as "partial 16S ribosomal RNA". It matches the Rfam family "Bacterial large subunit ribosomal RNA", at positions 1817 to 2598 of the family's 2925-position model. The record is from RNAcentral. Lineage: Eukaryota; Metazoa; Cnidaria; Hydrozoa; Anthoathecata; Oceaniidae.